This 492-nucleotide ribosomal RNA is filed under the name uncultured bacterium. RNAcentral describes it as "partial 16S ribosomal RNA". It matches the Rfam family "Bacterial small subunit ribosomal RNA", at positions 29 to 507 of the family's 1533-position model. The record is from RNAcentral.
AGUGAACGCUGGCGGUAGGCCUAACACAUGCAAGUCGAACGGCAGCACAGUAAGAGCUUGCUCUUACGGGUGGCGAGUGGCGGACGGGUGAGGAAUACAUCGUAAUCUACUUUUUCGUGGGGGAUAACGUAGGGAAACUUACGCUAAUACCGCAUACGACCUACGGUUGAAAGCAGGGGAUCUUCGGACCUUGCGCGAUUGAAUGCGCCGAUGUCGGAUUAGCUAGUUGGCGGGGUAAAGACCCACCAAGGCGACGAUCCGUAGCUGGUCUGAGAGGAUGAUCGGCCACACUGGAACUGAGACACGGUCCAGACGCCUAAGGGAGGCAGCAGUGGGGAAUAUUGGACAAUGGGCGCAAGCCUGAUACAGCCAGACCGCGUGGGUGAAGAAGGCCUUCGGGUUGUAAAGACCUUUUGUUGGGAAAGAAAAGCAGCAGGUUAAUACCCAGCUGUUUUGACGGUACCGAAAGAAUAAGCACCGGCUAACUUCGUG